UACUCCUACGGGAGGCAGCAGUGGGGAAUUUUGGACAAUGGGCGAAAGCCUGAUCCAGCCAUACCGCGUGAGUGAAGAAGGCCUUCGGGUUGUAAAGCUCUUUCAGCCGGAAAGAAAUUGCUUCUAUUAAUACUAGGAGUAGAUGACGGUACCGGAAGAAGGAGCACCGGCUAACUACGUGCCAGCAGCCGCGGUAAU
This 198-nucleotide ribosomal RNA is filed under the name uncultured soil bacterium. RNAcentral's name for it is "partial 16S ribosomal RNA". It matches the Rfam family "Bacterial small subunit ribosomal RNA", at positions 334 to 524 of the family's 1533-position model. The record is from RNAcentral.